This 4437-nucleotide long non-coding RNA is filed under the name Fragaria vesca (wild strawberry). RNAcentral's name for it is "long non-coding RNA (FVES_LNC000046)". The record is from RNAcentral. Lineage: Eukaryota; Viridiplantae; Streptophyta; Magnoliopsida; Rosales; Rosaceae.
UCCAUCUUUUUGCCACGUAUUGCCGGCCCCCAUACGUACUCAACCCUAUAAAUCAAACCCUUACAUUUCAGAGUUGAAUCGUUUAAGAAAAAAUGCCAGACCAUCCACCACCACCACACGGCGGCCACGGUCACGCACCACCCCCAGGUCCGGGACACCACGAGCCUCCUCCGCCCCAUGGCCAUGCUCCUCCUCCGGGGCCUCAUGCACCUCCUCCGGGACCCCAUGCACCUCCUCCGGGACCCCAUGCACCUCCUCCGGAACCCCAUGCACCUCCUCCGGGACCCCAUGCACCUCCUCAUGAUCCACACAAGCCACAUGACUGUCACCACGGUCACCACCACCCAUGAACCGAACUAGUCAUGAGGCCACGAUCGAGAAGCUAGUCUCAGCAAGUUGUUAUCUAUUUAUCUUUGUGCCUGUAAUGUGAUCUAGCUGCGGUUGUAGUUCUGAGUUGCUGGGUUUACUGGCUUUGCUCCAUUGAUCUCAUCGUUAUGUAAUGACUAAAAUAUGAGGACUAUGUAUGUAUCCAAAAGAAGGCUGAUCAUAUAUGUAUAAUAAGAAGAGUACUGGCUUUGUGGUUUAUGUAUAAUCCGCUUGUGUAAAACUUCUUCUUUUAUCCGUCUAAAUGUGAUGUAUAAUCAGAAAAUAUGGCCAGUUUGUCAUCUUGACCAACCUGAACUUACAAACUAAUUAAUUAAGUCAAUCUCCCCAAUUUCAUCAAUCUUCAUUAGGAUUUCAUCACUAGCUCAUUCCUUCACAGAUAAUUAACCAUUUGCUCGAUUGCUCUUAACAAACUGUAAUAGCCAAGAGGCAAACGCAUCCAUCUAAAUUCUAAAAAGUUAUUAACACAGGCUAGGGGUAAAUUAUCCUUUGUUCAGACCAAUCUCACAGUUGAAGCGAUGAAUUGGCUAAAACAAAAGCCUACGGGCAGAAAAACAAAGCAUCUCUAUUCGUACGGAAGAAUGACUUCCAUAUAUAGUAAGCCUUAUAGUUAUAACACCGUAAGUGUAUAAGAAUAGGAAUUCAUAAACGCAAUAAGAAGAAGACCGUGAAAGAGAUCGAAGAUUAAAGCAGGCCUUAAUGUCUUGUAUAUUCUGUACAAAAUUUCAACAGCCAGAUUUUCUCGAUGCAUUCGUCAGCUUCUGUUUGUAACCUUUCUUCUGUCAAAUCCUCCAUGGCUUUUCACGAGCAAUAAUUCUUGCAAGGUCCCAUUAACAAGCCUCACGUACGUUGUUCUUAUCUCCUUUUCCUUAGCUCACCAAGAAUUCAACUAUUACCAAGUGCAGCAACUAGUUUCUGUGAUCGAUCUACGGAAAGUUAAAGUUAUUGCUCAAAAGAGAAAGAGAAAACGGAAGUUAAAGUUCCAUGCUGCCCUAGUUCAAGUACGCACUCAGUUAUGAUCUUGUGGUUCUUACAAUGGAUGAAUGGAUGAAGCAUUACCACACAAAUACUCAGAAGAGAAAAACAAAACAACCACAGUGCACGAUUAACAUGCUAGCUAGCUUUCAUUGUGUGCAAAUAUCCUGAGCUACCAUUCCACCAAAACAAGCUAAAUAAGUUUAUCCUUGUAUGGAUAUUAUGUGAAUCGAAAUAAUUGUAUAUUUGAUUCUUAGAUAUUAUGUGGCACCUAUUACAACGAAGCAUGUGCCAUAUUCUGAAGAUAAUGUCGACACAUCUGAAUCAUCUAGAGCCCGUACCGACACCUUUCUCCUAUAAAAUCAACUCCUACUAGCUUAAACUCUUCAACAGUUCGCCACAUCAAGAACAACUUUCUUUUUGUUUAUACAAGCUAGUAGUCUCACCAAGAAUUCGAAGAUGCAUCACGGUGAUCAUCACGGCGGACCACCACACCACGGAGGAGGUCCGGGAGGAGGUCCGGGAGGUCCAGGAGGCGGCCCUCAACAUGGUCAUGGUCAUCAAGGAGCUCCGGGAGGAGGGCAUGGAGGACCAGGAGGAGGAGGGCAUGGAGGGCAAGGAGGAGGAGGACACGGAGGACCAGGAGGAGGAGGACAUGGAGGAGGAGGAGGAGGAGGACGAGGGGGGAGGAGGAGGACAUGGAGGAGGAGGAGGAGGAGGACGAGGGAGGAGGAGGAGGAGGACAUGGAGGAGGAGGAGGACGACGGAGGGCAUGGUGGUCACUGAUCAUGGCGCUAGACUACGUAUACUACUUGUGGUGUACUAGCUGGCUGAAUAAGUCUCUCUAUGUGACUUCUGUAGUAUUGUUUGUGUGUUAUCAUUUCCUAGUUGGGUCGAUCAGAUCCUAGAUAGUGAAGCUAGCUAGGGGAGUCGAUCUUGUGUUUGGAGUCUGUUAAUUAAUGUAUGUGUAUGGAUGUGUAAUAAAACCAUACUAGCUAUGUAUUUGAUUCGAGGCUUAACAUAUAUUGCAUGCAGCUAUAUAUAUAUAUAUAUAUAUAAUAUCCUUAGAUGACUAAGAACAUAAGAAACAGAGCAGUACUAUUGAUGAUUUACAAGAUUCAAUUUGUAUAAGUGAUCUUUGGCUUGUCCUAAUUAACCAUCAAGCAAAGCGCUAAGAACGAACAUAUUAUAUAUACUGCCAGAUGAUCAAGCAACUUUGCAGAGGGAUCAUGACGAAAUGUCCAUCUAGCAGCUUAAAUGCUUAAUUAGAACAAUUUUGCAAAACAAACACAAACUUGUAUAAUACGGUACCGAAAAUAUAAGUAUAACCGUUUGAAAUGUCAAGUUUAUCAAUCUUAUGAAAUCGAAGUAUCGUAAAUCGAUAAUGAUCUUCUUCAAAACUAGAACGAGAAUGUAACGUGUCUAUAUGACACUAUAAAUGUCUACGAAAUCAUGCGUUAAGAACAUAAUAUUAUAUUCCUUCGUUUUUUACUAAAGAAUAUCAUUACCGUUAAGCUUUAAUUGACAUACGUACGAUUGUACUUUGUAGUGAUACAUCUAAUUAUAUUGGUCGUGUGGUGCCCUUAGUAUAUUAAAAGGAAAAAACUAAAGAGACCAAAAGGCCCAAAGGAAACCACAGAAAUUGUCAUAAAGGUACAAGUGCAGCCCAACUUUCNNNNNNNNNNNNNNNNNNNNNNNNNNNNNNNNNNNNNNNNNNNNNNNNNNNNNNNNNNNNNNNNNNNNNNNNNNNNNNNNNNNNNNNNNNNNNNNNNNNNNNNNNNNNNNNNNNNNNNNNNNNNNNNNNNNNNNNNNNNNNNNNNNNNNNNNNNNNNNNNNNNNNGUCCUGAUCAUCACCUUCCUUGCCUAUGCUUCCUUCCACGCCUCCAGGAAGCCCCCCAGCAUCGUCAAGAGUGUUCUUGGCCCCAAACUCCUGUCCAAUUCGAGCUCUUUCGACACCGGUUGGGCUCCCUUUAAUGGCCCUGAUGGCACUCACAGGCUUGGAGAACUUGAUCUUGCAUUUCUAUCUGCAUAUUCUAUUGGAAUGUAUUUUGCAGGGCAUGUUGGUGAUAGGAUUGAUUUGAGGUUGUUUCUUGCUUAUGGGAUGUUAGGGAGUGGAGUUUUGACUUGUCUUUUCGGGUUAGGUUAUUGGUGCAAUGUGCAUAUGUUGUGGUACUUUGUGGGUGUGCAAGUUGUGUGUGGGUUGUUUCAGUCAAUAGGGUGGCCUUCUGUUGUGGCAGUUGUGGGGAAUUGGUUUAGGGUUUAGACAGCGGCCAUCACACGCCGGCCACGGUCACGCACCACCCCCAGGUCCGGGACACCACGAGCCUCCUCCGCCCCAUGGCCAUGCUCCUCCUCCGGGGCCUCAUGCACCUCCUUCGGGACCCCAUACACCUCCUCCGGAACCCCAUGCACCUCCUCCGGGACCCCAUGCACCUCCUCAUGAUCCACACAAGCCACAUGACCCGCACCACGGUCACCACCACCCAUGAACCGAACUAGUCAUGAGGGAUCACGAAGCUAGCUAGUCUCAGCAAGUUGUUAUCUAUUUCUGCCUGUAAUGUGAUCUAGCUGCGCUUGUAGUUCUGAGUUGCUGGGUUUACUGGCUUUGCUCCAUUGAUCUCAUCGUUAUGUAAUGACUAAAAUAUGAUGACUAUGUAUGUAUCCAAAAGAAGGCUGAUCAUAUAUGUAUAAUAAGAAGAGUACUGGCUUUCUGGUUUAUGUAUAAUCCGCUUGUGUAAAACUUCUUCUCUGUUAUCGGUCUAAAUGUGAUGUAUGAUCAGAAAAUAUGGUCAGUUUGUCCUCUUGACCAACCUUAACUUACAAACUAAUUAAGUCAAUCUCCCCAAUUUCAUCAAUCUUUAUUAGGAUUUCAUCACUCAUUCCUUCACAGAUAAUUAACCACACAUCCAAGCUGCAUUUGCUCGAUUGCUCUUAACAAACUGUAAUAAUUAACCAAGAGGCAAACGCAUCCAUCUAAAGUCUAAAAAUUAAGUUAUUAACACAAGGUUAAAUUAUCCAUUGUUCAGACCAAUCUCACAGUUAGAGCGAUGAAUUGGCUAAAACAAAAACCUACGGGAG